UUUUCUUUCACAGUUUAAUUUCUAUUAUAAUUGUUCUAACAGCCUUCUAGCUGAUUUUGCCUACCUCUGCUCUCUCUUCCAUUCAACCUCUCAUGAACUAGUUAGUCUUCAUGAAUACAUUUUAUCAUGUCCCUGUCCUGCUUAAAAACCCUUUGCCUACAGGAUAAUCUUCACGCCUCUAACCUGCAGUCUGAGCCCUGCCUGAACACCCAGGUUCUACUUAUCUUUCCAAUGUUAUAUUCUACUACUUCCCUACCUGAAUCCUUUUGAUUUAGCAGUUUCCCGAAUGUGUUCAUGCAUAUGUUCAUUCAUUUAGUGCUAAGGAAUGGGCUAGGUGAUGGGAAUACAGCAUGAACCCUAAGAUACAGCCCCUGGCCUCAGGGCAUUUCUAGUCUGAUGGUAAGACCAAAAUUAGAGAAGUAAUACUAAUACUAAAGCAGCUGGUGUGGUGGGGGUGAUAAGGUGUGUUUCAGGCACAGGGAAUAGCAUAUGCAAAGGCCAGGAGACUAGAAAGAGUAUAGGGACUUCCAUUAGUCCUGUAGAAUGCUGAAAGGAGAGUGGCCAGAAAUGAGAAGCAAAAGCAAGCAGAGGCCAGAGCAUGGGGAGGAGUGUGUGAGCUGGGGCAGGAUUUUGGCUGCAGGACCACUAAAGGCUUUUAAGCAGUGGGGUGGGAUGAUUUCUCAUCUGCAAUUUUGCAAACUCCCUCUAACCACUGGGUAGAGUAUGGGUUAGAGGGAACAAGGCAAGAGGAAGGGAGACCAGUUUGGAGAUUGUCAUAUUAUCCAGCAGCACACUGAUGUGGUUUGAAUUGGGGAAGUAGCAGAAGGAUGGAGAGACGGUGAUGGAGUCACGUGAGUUUCUAUUUUCUUACUCCUCCCACCUCCCGUACCCUGCCUCCACCUUUUUGCCAGUCCGAAUCCAGUUAGCUGCUCAUCUCUAAACUGCUUAGGCUAUUUUUACACCUACCCAGGUUCAAUCAGUACCUGUUGGCUCAUCUUCUUUACUGCUGGCCACCUCGCUGUAGCUGCAACUUGGAAAGAAGCAUGUCAAUACUACUUGUUUGGGUAGCCUCCUUUGUUCCUAUUAUUGAAAAUGAAUGAGUGAGGGGAAGAAUUUAACCCAGAAAUACAGCUCUUGCUUGUGACUUUUGUUGUACUGUGCUCUUCAUGAGGAGCCCUGGCGAACUGAUACCAGAGUAACUCACAGACUCAGCUGCUUGAGAACACAGCCAUAGUCUCCUCAUCUUAUCCCCAGCACCCUACACAGAGCCUGGACCACAGCAGAUGCCCCAGCUUUGAACCAAGC
This 1305-nucleotide long non-coding RNA is filed under the name Homo sapiens (human). RNAcentral describes it as "HSALNT0148083". Lineage: Eukaryota; Metazoa; Chordata; Mammalia; Primates; Hominidae. The record is from RNAcentral.